Molecule: ribosomal RNA, 397 nt
Filed under: uncultured bacterium
Lineage: Bacteria
Description: partial 16S ribosomal RNA
Rfam family: Bacterial small subunit ribosomal RNA
Source: RNAcentral
AUACGUAGGGAGCGAGCGUUGUCCGGAAUUACUGGGUGUAAAGGGAGCGUAGGCGGGACUGCAAGUCAGAUGUGAAAUACCGGGGCUUAACCCCGGAGCUGCAUUUGAAACUGUGGUUCUUGAGUGAAGUAGAGGCAAGCGGAAUUCCUGGUGUAGCGGUGAAAUGCGUAGAUAUCAGGAGGAACACCGGUGGCGAAGGCGGCUUGCUGGGCUUUUACUGACGCUGAGGCUCGAAAGCGUGGGUAGCAAACAGGAUUAUAUGCCCUGGUAGUCCACGCCGUAAACGAUGAAUACUAGGUGUAGGGGGUAUCGACUCCCUCUGUGCCGCAGUUAACACAAUAAGUAUUCCGCCUGGGGAGUACGGCCGCAAGGUUGAAACUCAAAUGAAUUGACGGGG